UUCAACUUCACUUCAUCUCAUCGUUCCCUCACUCUCGCGCUCGUAUCCUCACCGGCGAUGGUCUCCACCUCCAACCGCUGCCGUUUCACUUCGAAUCAACGCGCUCUAAACACAAACUCACCCUAAAAUCAUGCCCUGAGCCUAAAUCUACGAUCAAUUUAACAUGAGAAUGGCGCAAAUAUUCGGAUCGAAAAAAGGAAAAAGCAAACCCUAGGUUUGAAAUACUGCACGAAUUCAAGUUAUUGCAGCUCCGAGAGGACAGAUAGAUGUAUUACGCCUAUGAAUGGAGGAUAACAAGUGUUAAACAAACCUGAUUGAAGAUCGAAGAUGGAGAAACGGAAAGCCAGAGGUGAGAUUCCGAGCUGGUGCGAAAUAAACGCGAUUGGAGGCGACUAAUCUUCAGAUAUGCUGUGAUCUUGAUGAUGAUUGUUGCAAUCUUGAGAAGACGAUGAUGCUGCAGUUGAUAGAAGAAACAAACUGUGAUUGAAGAUUGUUGCAGAACCUUGAUAAUCAAAUUUGGUGAUGAUUGAAUGAAGAGGUGAAGGAUUCUGAAGGUGAAGAACAAUGGAUUGGUGAUGAUGAUUGUUGAAUUGGGAGAGAAAGAUUGAAGAUGAUGAAGAUUCUAUGUGAAGAAGGUGAAGGAGAGUGGUGUGAAGAUGAUGGGAAAAAUGGUGUUUUGGGAAGAAUGAAGAGAAAUGGUGGAGAGGUUGAAGAAGCAGAGUGAAGGCUGAGAAGUGAAGAAUGGUGGAGAGUUAGAACUUAAGAAGUGAAGGUGAAAAAUGAUGGAGAGCCCUGAAGAUUGGAGGGAAUUGAAUUAUAUAGGUGAGGGUUUGAAUUCAGUUAGAGCUUGAAGUUAGUUACAAAAGGGAGAAGCUUGAGCCAA
This is a long non-coding RNA of Vicia villosa (hairy vetch), 883 nucleotides long. RefSeq lists it as uncharacterized. The transcript is spliced from 3 exons. Lineage: Eukaryota; Viridiplantae; Streptophyta; Magnoliopsida; Fabales; Fabaceae. The record is from RefSeq and is a predicted model, not a curated record.